This is a long non-coding RNA of Brassica napus (rape), 2805 nucleotides long. RefSeq lists it as uncharacterized. NCBI's taxonomy places the organism in Eukaryota, Viridiplantae, Streptophyta, Magnoliopsida, Brassicales, Brassicaceae. The record is from RefSeq and is a predicted model, not a curated record. The transcript is spliced from 2 exons.
AUGUCACUCCUAUGCUUAUAAAAUUAGAAAUCCGCUUAGGUGGAAAAUUCCACGAGUCCUUGCUCGAAUGCGUUAGUGCUGGAAAUACAGAGGCCGUCUACUACGAAGGUCUCUACGAACAACAUUUGAUGUGGAGCAUGCCAUCAAUGUCUUGGAACCAAACGUCCCAACGCACGCAUUGUCAACGUUGGACGUCGGUGUUUUCAACGUUUGUCUUGGUAAAGAUAAAGAAGCCAGUAAAGUUUUUUUGGAGUUCGGUGCAAUUCAUGACAAGCUUAGGUCAGAUGCCAUAUUGGAACUGACCGAUGAGCUUGAGUGGAGAUUGACUCUGUUCCUGGCGCCACAUUUAAACAGCUACCCUCUAACCUUCAAAUUUCCUGACGAUGAGGUCAUCAAAUCACCAAAGUGUCUCUAUGGCCAUGAUUACGCAAAGUACCUUGAAGGUUCCUGCAAAAACUACAGGCUCUUUUGGAUCUGUUCCAAUAUUGCUCACAUGCUCUAAAAUCUCCCUUCGCUAUGUUUUCUUGUUUUGUUUUUUGACACCGGCUAUGAUUAUGUUGGUUUAUCUAUUUUCUUAACAAAUCACAGUGCAUUAACCAAGUGGUGCACAUAAAAUUUAGUAUUUUUGUACAUGGAUGUUGGUGUACGUGCAUGUUGGUGUACACCAUUAUCCAUGUACACAUGUAUUCAGUAUUCAAGUACAUAAACAACUGCCAUCAACUAUGUUGUGGGUUAUCUAUUUUUUUUUACAAAGCGCAGCGCAUUAAUUGGUGUACCUAACGGCGUGUGUAGACGAAUUAAAGUGUAUAUUACGACUGUUGUACAUGUAUAUAAGUGUAUAUGAGGACUGGUGUACAUGGAUAUACGAGUCCAAGAAUAGUAGUGUACAACAAUUGAAGUGGACAUGACCACUGGUGUUCAUGGAUAUUGGUGUACAUGACCACUAGUGUACACAUAUUUUGGAUAUUGGUGUACCUGAAGUCAAAAAGUGUACAUGACUUCAAUUAACAAUAACUUCAAACACUCCUUAUUUUACCAACAAUAUGAAGCACGCAAAUUACAACGACAUAAACUGACAAACACACUAAAACUUGAAGUUAAGACCAAUGAUCCCUCCUAAAACAACAACAAAUCCAACCGACGAUGCCACCAACACAUUACGAAGCACUGAACUCCUCUCAGUAAGUACCAACACUGCUCUCUUCAAAGGUUCACAUUCUUCACUUUUGUCAUUCCGCUGUUCAACCAGAUCAUUCGAGAUUUGGACAUUCGAGUUCUGGUGUGCCUGUUUACUUACCUGGUUUCUCAGCUUGGCGAUCUCCUCUUUUUGUUCAUUAAUUAUAUCCCUCGCUUCAAGUAAAGCAAGGUGUUGCCAUCCAUGUGGUGGUUCCAGAUCAAACCACUGAAAGAAAUCGCACUUAACAUAGUCCCGACCAACUCGCCGACCUCUGCAACUAAGGAAUCUCCGCCUGGGGUUUUUACGCAUCCACGCCCUCACAGAAUUUGCCGUAAGGUUAUAGUCGCAACGUACCCCAUGCUCGGUUGAGGAUGACGAGAUGAUACUCUCGGAGUUCGCAGCCACGAAAUUUCCACUCUCCGAAAUUUUCUCCAAUAACUAUGAAGAUCGCCUAAUUUCAAAUCUCCCGAACCUUAGAUCCCCUUCUAAUCGAUUUACUCAUUUGUGGGGAUUAAAUAGAUGAACCUACUAAAGAGACCAAUUUAACAAGAUUUAUAAUCUAACUCUAUUAAAAGGAGAAUAACAAGCCUUCUUAGCUAUGCCACGUCGGAUCAGAAAAUCAGCCACUCAUAUUACAACAAUCAUCCAUGUUAUCUGUUUCUAUUUGAUUUUGGGCUUCGUCUUUUAUUUUGGGCUUCUUAUUUUGCCUUUCCUUAGUUUUUAGUGAAUGUGAAUAAAUUCCAUAAAAAAUGAAUUUAAUAUCAAUCUACCCGGAUCACAUUCUUUACCGUUGGAUUAGAUUUAAUCCAACGGACCACAUCUGACCAUACUCUCUCUCUCUCUCUCUCUCUCUCUCUCUCUCUCUCUCUCACUCUCUCUCUCUCUCUCUCUCUCUCUCUCUCUCUGUCGACACUUUGCUUUUCGCUUUUCCUUUAUUUUUCUUCUCCGAAAGUCAUCUUCUCUCCAUAGAUUCUCACCCAAUCUCUUAAUCUUUCCAUGGAAACAUGUAAAACAAAAUUCAAUCUCUCGUCAAUUUCGUCUAAUUCUUUAUCAUUCUAUGAACAAAAAGCUUGGCUGAAAGAAGAAAACAGUCGAAGGUCACGGCUUUAGAGGAAAACGACGAAGCUCAUGACUGGAUGAAUAAGAUGACGACGAUGAACACAAAGCCCACCACCACCAGAUCUAGCUCUGCCGAGAUGAAUCCGACCAAUAUCUAUCUCCCUCUUCACAUCUCCUUCCGCUCCUCCCUACUCCAAUGAACCACGCCGUGUCUGCAUCUAUCGGACUCGCACCUUCGAGAAACGAAAAGCAGGAUCUGGAGAAGCUGUGGUGUGGUGUGGAGAUGUCAAAGGAAGGUAGCGGUGGUGGUGGUAGUGGAGCCGAGCAAGAAGAAGAAGAAGAGAAAGGCGGAGAAGAAGAGAAGACAUAGAUGCGAGGAGGAUGGAGUCGGAAGAUGAAGACGGCGGCGUAGAUUAGAUUUAGGUUUUGGUAUAUUAGGUUUGGUUUAGUUAGGUAUUGGUUCAAAUGAGUAGUAUUUUCUGCCACAAUUAACGCCAAAUAUUAAAAGAGUCAGCACACAAUUAUCUUUCACAUAUUUUUUUCAAUAUCAACAUUGAAACAAAACUUAA